This 372-nucleotide long non-coding RNA is filed under the name Manihot esculenta (cassava). RNAcentral's name for it is "long non-coding RNA (MESC_LNC009408)". Lineage: Eukaryota; Viridiplantae; Streptophyta; Magnoliopsida; Malpighiales; Euphorbiaceae. The record is from RNAcentral.
UGGGUGUUCUAUCCAUUUCAGGUAUUACACAGGGGGUUACAGCAGUUGCUCUAGUGGGUGUUCUUCCCAUUUCGUGCACAAUACCAGGAACCACAUUAGUUGCUAAGGUGGUUUUGGUUUCAGGUAUAACACGAGGAUUCAUAGUAAUUGCUGCUGGAGGUUUUCUAUCAGUUUCAGAUAUAACACGAGGGCUCAUAUUUGCUAUGGGAUGUUUUCUAUUGGUUUCAGGUAUAACAAGAGGGUUCAUACUAGUUGCUAAGCGAGGUUUCCUAUCAGUUUCUGGUAUAACACGAGGAUUCAUAGUAGUUGCUGUAGGAGGUUUUCUAUCCAUUUCAGGUACAACAAGAGGGGUGAUAUUAGUUGACGAGGGAG